RNAcentral lists this ribosomal RNA (497 nucleotides) under uncultured bacterium. RNAcentral describes it as "partial 16S ribosomal RNA". It matches the Rfam family "Bacterial small subunit ribosomal RNA", at positions 28 to 507 of the family's 1533-position model. The record is from RNAcentral.
GAUGAACGCUGGCGGCGUGCCUAAUACAUGCAAGUCGAGCGAACGGACGAGAAGCUUGCUUCUCUGAUGUUAGCGGCGGACGGGUGAGUAACACGUGGAAAACCUACCUAUAAGACUGGGAUAACUUCGGGAAACCGGAGCUAAUACCGGAUAAUAUUUUGAACCGCAUGGUUCAAAAGUGAAAGACGGUCUUGCUGUCACUUAUAGAUGGAUCCGCGCUGCAUUAGCUGGUUGGUAAGGUAACGGCUUAUCAAGGCAACGAUGCAUAGCCGACCUGAGAGGGUGAUCGGCCACACUGGAACUGGAACACGGUCCAGACUCCUACGGGAGGCAGCAGUAGGGAAUCUUCCGCAAUGGGCGAGAGCCUGACGGAGCAACGCCGCGUGAGUGAUGAAGGUCUUCGGAUCGUGAAACUCUGUUAUUAGGGAAGAACAUAUGUGUAAGUAACUGUGCACAUCUUGACGGUACCUAAUCAGAAAGCCACGGCUAACUACGUG